CUGAAACUCGCCUACAUGAAGCUGGAGUUACUAGUAAUCGCAGAUCAGAAUGCUGCGGUGAAUGCGUUCCCGGGUCUUGUACACACCGCCCGUCACACCACGGAAGUUGGGGCGCCCGAAGCCACUUAGCUAACCCUUUUGGGAAGCGAGUGUCGAAGGUGAAAUCAAUAACUGGGGUGAAGUCGUAACAAGGUAAC
RNAcentral lists this ribosomal RNA (197 nucleotides) under uncultured bacterium. RNAcentral describes it as "partial 16S ribosomal RNA". It matches the Rfam family "Bacterial small subunit ribosomal RNA", at positions 1305 to 1500 of the family's 1533-position model. The record is from RNAcentral.